AAGACCUUGCGCUUUUGGAGCGGCCGAUGUCUGAUUAGCUUGUUGGUAAGGUAAAAGCUUACCAAGGCUUCGAUCAGUAGCUGGUCUGAGAGGACGGCCAGCCACACUGGGACUGAGACACGGCCCAGACUCCUACGGGAGGCAGCAGUGGGGAAUUUUGGACAAUGGGGGCAACCCUGAUCCAGCCAUGCCGCGUGAGUGAAGAAGGCCUUCGGGUUGUAAAGCUCUUUCAGCCGGAACGAAACGGUUACGGUUAAUACCCGUGACUACUGACGGUACCGGAAGAAGAAGCACCGGCUAACUACGUGCCAGCAGCCGCGGUAAUACGUAGGGUGCGAGCGUUAAUCGGAAUUACUGGGCGUAAAGGGUGCGCAGGCGGUUUUGUAAGUCAGAUGUGAAAUCCCCGGGCUUAACCUGGGAACU
This 423-nucleotide ribosomal RNA is filed under the name uncultured bacterium. Its description in RNAcentral is "bacterial SSU rRNA". It matches the Rfam family "Bacterial small subunit ribosomal RNA", at positions 207 to 622 of the family's 1533-position model. The record is from RNAcentral.